GACCAGGUGGCGUAGUGGCAACGCACGCAGGAUGAGUUCCCGCUCAACAAUAUCUACCUGCGAGUUCUUCGUUCGAUUCAGAGUCUGGCUG
Non-coding RNA from Mycena metata, 91 nucleotides. The record is from the annotation of a GenBank genome assembly. NCBI's taxonomy places the organism in Eukaryota, Fungi, Basidiomycota, Agaricomycetes, Agaricales, Mycenaceae.